AAGUUUGAUCAUGGGCUCAGAAUGAACGUUGGCGGCGUGGAUUAGGCAUGCAAGUCGUGCGAGAAAUCUUGGAUUGAGGCUUCGGUGGAUUUCCAGGAUGGACAGCGGCGAAAGGGAGAGUAACACGUGGAUACCUACCCCGGGGUUCGGGAUAGCUGUGGGAAACUGCAGGUAAUACCGAAUAAUGUCUCUGGACUAAAGGUGUGAUUCCGUCUUGGGAUGGGUCCGCGUCCUAUUAGCUUGUUGGUGGGGUAACGGCCUACCAAGGCGAAGAUGGGUAGCGGGUGUGAGAGCAUGGCCCGUCUCACUGGGACUGAGACACUGCCCAGACACCUACGGGUGGCUGCAGUCGAGAAUCUUCCGCAAUGGGCGCAAGCCUGACGGAGCGACGCCGCGUGCGGGAUGAAUGCCUUCGGGUUGUAAACCGCUUGUUUGUCGGG
Molecule: ribosomal RNA, 440 nt
Filed under: uncultured Planctomycetota bacterium
Lineage: Bacteria; Pseudomonadati; Planctomycetota
Description: bacterial SSU rRNA
Rfam family: Bacterial small subunit ribosomal RNA
Source: RNAcentral